This 94-nucleotide non-coding RNA is filed under the name unclassified sequences. The record is from Rfam.
UUAUCAAUAUUUGCUCCCGCUAACCAAGACCUAUGGGAGGAUAAAUUACGUCUUUUUAUCCAGUAGUGAGGGAUUACUGGAAAUAAGUUUCGCU